This 376-nucleotide ribosomal RNA is filed under the name uncultured bacterium. RNAcentral describes it as "bacterial SSU rRNA". It matches the Rfam family "Bacterial small subunit ribosomal RNA", at positions 521 to 896 of the family's 1533-position model. The record is from RNAcentral.
UAAGACGAACCGUGCGAACGUUGUUCGGAAUCACUGGGCUUAAAGGGCGCGUAGGCGGGCUUGCAAGUCUGUGGUGAAAUCCUCCAGCCCAACUGGAGAACGGCCGUGGAUACUGCGAGUCUCGAGGGAGGUAGGGGCGUGCGGAACAGAUGGUGGAGCGGUGAAAUGCGUUGAUAUCAUCUGGAACUCCGGUGGCGAAGGCGGCACGCUGGACCUCAUCUGACGCUGAGGCGCGAAAGCUAGGGGAGCAAACGGGAUUAGAUACCCCGGUAGUCCUAGCCCUAAACGUUGGGUACUAGAUAGUAGCCUUCACAUGGGGUUACUGUCGGAGCAAAAGUGCUAAGUACCCCGCCUGGGGAGUAUGGUCGCAAGGCUG